This 7175-nucleotide long non-coding RNA is filed under the name Solanum tuberosum (potato). RNAcentral's name for it is "long non-coding RNA (STUB_LNC009166)". Lineage: Eukaryota; Viridiplantae; Streptophyta; Magnoliopsida; Solanales; Solanaceae. The record is from RNAcentral.
ACCGCUUUAGGAACCUCCCCUUCUAUAUAUGUUCCAUCAAUCGCACCAACACAAUCCUAUCAAAUAAAAAAUACAUCAAUAUUAGUUUAGUGAAUAUAAAAUAAAUUGGAAGCAUUAUAGAAUGCACUUUCAUAAAAAUAAUGUUUGUAAGAGUAAUAAAAAUAGUGCUUCCAAGACAAUGCAAAGUCAUAAAAUAAAUAUUAUCUCUUUAAACAAAGUUGUAGAAAAUAUGUAACUAAAUACUAAUAACUUACACAUAAAAUAUAAAUGUUCACUUAUUAAGGCCAUAAAAUAAAUUUAUUAAUGUGAUUGAAAUUUUACCUUAAACCAAGGCCAAAAUCGAAUAUUAUGUCUAAUUUUGGAAUGUACGCCAGUCAUAUUUUUUGGUUGUAUGAAUGUUCGUGCCAUCUUGCUAAUUGCCUCGGCAACUAUUUUAACAUGCCGGUUAAUUGUUUCAAGUGAAUGUUGAAAAGUUUCACAAUCGUGAGGUGUUAGUUAAAGUGACUAUAUGUUGGUGAGAAUAAUAAAUUUUAUAUCGGUGAGAAUAAUAAAUUUUAAAAAGUAAUGAUGUGAUUAUAAAUUUUAUUUACAUAUGAAACAAAUGGUUAGUAGAUAUAAAUGUGGGCUGUUUUAACAAAAUAUAAACUCAUGGAACAAUUAUUGUAUUAAAAUAUCUCAAAUCAUGAUAUGGAAUCACCAUAUAAUUUCAUAUCAUGGUUUUUGGAGAAUAUGGUAUCACCUCUCAUGAUAUGGAAUCAUGAGAUGGAAUCAGCGUAAAAUCGCAUGUCCAAACGCUGAUUCCAUCUCACGAUACCAUAUCGUGAUAUGGUAUCGCAUGGUCAAACGCCUACUUAGUGUCUGAGCGGUCACGACAAUACACUCGGUAUGAAUGUCUAAAGGAAUUUAUUUUUCAAAUUAAAGCCCUAUGUGUUUCAUCCCAUCAUGUGUGAGUGGGAGAUGUUGGAAAUAGAUACACUCAUUGAUGGUUGACUAGUAACUUGCUUCAUUCAUGAAGUAAGUUACAACUCCACUAAAUAACUCCAUAUAGUAAAAGAAGAAGAGUUAUGUAUUCUUGAAUGGAGUGGGAGUUAUAGGGUAAGGGGGGAUGUAACUCUUGAAUGAAUAAGAGUGACAAGUCCUACCUUGUCCUAUAAAAGGGAGGGAACUUGGGGUCAUCCAAGAAACAACAACAAACAACACAAGAAAAGAGUUCCUUAGAUAAAGAGUGUAGUUGUUGUGAAAAACAAUACAAGACUCCAUAGUGAUCUUGUAAGAAACCGCUUAGGCAAUUGGUGGUGAUAGCACUUGAUCCUAUAACAAGAAGGUAUGUAUAAUUCCGCAUAAAUCUCCGAGUUUAAAUCCUUCAAAAUGGAUAGAGGUGAUGCCUAUGUCUAAAAUCACUCACUUAGCCUCAACUGGUUCUGACCACUGUCCCCUGCUUCUGGAAAGUGUUGACAGAAAUACCAAUACUAUCAAAUACUACAAAUUCCUACAUUUUUGGGUGGAUAAUCCAAAGUUUCUAGAUAUUGUGUAAGCUUGCUGGGAAAGACCAGUUGACGGUAAUCCUAUGAGAAUUUUUCAGCUAAAAUUGAAAAGAGUGCCAAUACUCUUAGCAACUAGUCUAGACAGGAAUAUGGAGAUAUUUUUAACAGUGUUAAGGAGUAUGAGGAGAAGGUUAAAAGUGUUGAAGCAGAUAUCAUCAAUGACAACAAUGAGUAAAAUAGAACCAAGCUCAAUAGAUUAAUGCUCAAUGCAUCAGAUACUUAAAAAUUGAGCAAUCCACUCUCAAACAGAGAUGCAAACUCCAAGUAUAUCCAUGCUAUUAUCAGAGGCAGGAGAAGUAAGUCGUUUAUCCACAAAAUCAGUGAUGAUCAUGGUAAUACUAUCAAGGGGGAUGAGAAUAUUGCAAGGGCUGCAUGUUGUCGUUUUGAGAAAAUCUUUACAGGGGAAGAUAACCUGAUCAAUGAGGAAGUCCUUAGAUGCAUUCCUAGCAUGAUCACUGAGUAUCAAAACCAAAAACUCCAGGCCAUGCCAACAAAAGAGUAACUGAAACAGGCUGUCUGGUCAAUGAGUGCUAAUUCUGUAGCUGGUCCGGAUGGAAUAAGUGGCAUGUUUUCCAUUCCUGCUGGGAUAUCAUCAGUGAUGAUCUCUUUAACAUGAUGCAGCUAUUUUUUUGUGGCCACAGUAUUCCUAAAUUUAUUUCUCAUGCUUACCUAGUGUUACUCCCAAAAGUGAAUCAUCCUAAUAAGUUUUCUUAAUUCAGACCUAUCUUCCACAGUAAUUUUACCAACAAGGUUUUUUUUUUUGAUAACCGAGAAAUCCAUCUGACCCGCCCUUUGGACCAAUCACAGCCUUCUAAAGUCGGUAGAUAAUGGGCCCACCCCUCUACCCUUCUCCACUUAAAUACCAGGCUUUGCUUUGCAUGAUGUGAGGCUUGAACCUGCGACCUAAGCCACAGAUCCUCCACCUUUUGCCACUCGAGCUAGGCCUUGGGGGCACCAACAAGGUUAUUUCCAAGCUGCUAUAUCUCAGAUUAGCCCCCAUCCUGCCUCGUCUUAUUUCUGAGAACUAGUCUGGAUUUGUUCAAGGAAGGAGUAUUUAUGAAAAUAUUAUGCUAGCUUAGGAGCUUAUUCACGAUAUAAAUAAGCCCAAGACAGGAGACAAUGUGGUCAUAAAACUUGACAUGGCCAAAGCUUAUGACAGGGUUUCUUGGUCCUAUACAUGUUUAGUUAUGAGAAGAAUGGGUUUUGGAGAAAUGAUCAUUGACAUGAUUUGGAGACUUGUGUCAAACAAUUGGUACUCUAUCAUUAUCAAUGGUUCUAGACAUGGUUCUGUCAUUCUACAAGAGGUCUCAAGCAAGGUGAUCCUCUGUCCUCAUCUCUCUUUAUCAUUGGUGCAGAGGUCCUUACUAGGAUGCUAAACAAUCUUCAUCAACACUAUCUCUAUAAGGGCUUUCAUAUGGAAAGAAAUGGUCCUCAAGUAAAUCAUUUGAGUUUUGCAGAUGAUAUAAUAAUCUUCACAUCAACUAGCAAAUACUCUUUGAAUCUUAUUAUCAGGACUAUGCAGAUGUAUGAAACAACUUCUGGACAGCUAUUAACAAGUCAGCUACUUAUUGCAGAAAAAACACCUCCUGAUAUCAUAGAAAGAACUAAAGCUAUUACUGGUUUUAGUCACACUUUUGGGCCUAUCACAUAUUUGGGUUGUCCUUUAUAUAUUGGUCGUCAAAAGAAUAUUUAUUUCACUUCAUGGUGGUUAAAGUUAUUGGCAGAAUCAAAGGAUGGCAAACCAAAAUGUUAAGCUAUGGGGGCAGAAGUACUCCUGUCAAAUCUGUCUUAUAUUCAAUGCCCAUAUAUCUGCUAACUGCUAUCAUCCCUACGACUACUACCCUCAAACAGAUCAAGUGUCUUAUAACUGACUUCUUUUGGGGGUUGGAGAAGGACAAAAGAAAAUACCAUUGGGCCUCCUGGGAAACUCUAAGUUUUCUUUGUGAAGAGGGUGGAAUUGGUAAUUGAAGAAUCUUGGUGGAACUUCAGAUCCAAAAAGUCCCUUUGGGGUGACUUCCUCAAAGCUAAAUAUUGUCAAAAAGCUAAUCCUGUCAUUAAAAAUGGAACUCUGGACAAUCCAUUGGUGGAAGAAUAUGAUCAUUAACAGGAUGGAAGUUGAACCUCACAUUCAAUGGACUAUUAACUCUGGAAGCUGCAGUUUUUAGUGGGAUAACUGGCUGGGGGUGAGAUCUCCAGCAAAUCACAAUGAUUACCUUCCCAGUCUAAAUAAUGUCACAGUUUCCAGCUACCUUGUUAAUGGAGAGUGGGAUGAGGAUAAAUAGGACAGCAUGCACCUCAACAACUCAUUCAUAAAAUCCUCAAUACUAAUGUUAGAGUGCAACAGGACAUCCCAGAUCAAGCCAUCUGGAUACUUACUACCAGUGGGAGUUUCACUUGUGCUUCAGCAUGGGAGCAUGUUAGGAAGAAAAGGAAUAGGACUUUAACUGACUCCCUAAUUUGGCAUAAAGCUAUUCCUUUCAAGGUCUCCUUUUUAUUAUGGAGAGCACUCAGACUCAAGCUCCCAACAAAUGACAAAAUUAGUGCCUUUGGACACUCUACUGCAAAUUGUUCAGGUUAUUACAUUCCAGGAAGAUGUUGAUCAUAUUUUCAUUUCUGGAAAAUUUGUUAAGCAUAUUUGGAAGCAUUUUGCUAGUAGGCUGGGGGUACAACAUAGCAGAACCCCUAUGAGGAGUAUGCUGAUGAAUUGGUGGAUUACUAAACCUAACAAUGAAGUUCACAAGCUCAUAAUGAAAGCCACCCCCAUUUUCAUUUGCUGGAACCUUUGGAAGAAUAGGUGUGCUAGUAAAUAUGGUGGGAAACAAUCAAGUACAACUAGAGUGAAAUUCUUUAUCUCCAAGGAGCUUCACGUGCUUAUUAUCACUACUUAUCCAUCCAUCAAAUGGCCUAACAACUGGAAUGAGUUUAUUUCUCUGGUGGAGAACUGCCAACAUGAUAUAAAGGUCUCUGGUAGUGCUCUGGAGAAUCCAGGUAGGAUUGGAGCUGGGGGCCUACUGAGAGAUCAUAAAGGCAAACUGAUCUAUGCCUUUGCUACACCUUUAGGUGUGGGUUCAAACAAUCAAGCAGAAGUUAUGGCUGCAGCCUUUGGGAUGAAUUGGUAUAUUUAACAUGGGUAUAGUAGGAUCAUUUUGGAAGUAGAUUCUGAACUUUUAGUAAUGGCUCAAGCAAGAAAGUACCCCCUCCUUGGAGCAUCUACAAAAAUAUCAUGGAACUUCAAGACUUGAUUAAAAUGACUGAUUUUUUUCAAUGCAAUCAUGUCUUUAGAGAGGCCAAUUUCCCUGCUGAUACUCUUUCAAAACACAGUCAUUUGAUGAAAAAUACUCAACAUUUUUACAAUUAUCUUCAUCUGCCUAAAGAGACUAGAGGUUACAUCAAUUUAGACAGAAUGGGCAUGGCAUGCUUCAGAAGGAAAAAGUUGAAGAGGACCAAAAAACCACCCUAGAAGAUGGCUGAUCAGUAUCCUUCUUCAUUUCCUUUUUUUGCAACUUCUUCCCUUGAGCUACAUAUUAUAGAUACAGCUUCUAGGAAGAGGUUAGUUUUUGGUUAGGCUCUUUUCUCUAUUGUAAGGGAAGAGUCUCCCUUAUUUAUGAUUUCCUAGUUUAUAUGUAUUGAGAGGAAUCCUCUCUUCUAGGUACAUAGAUCUAGGUUUCUUUCAAUAGAUUUUAGGGUCAAGUUGAUAAGCCUUAUUAGGCUAGUCAACAUAUGAUCUACCAUGGGAUUGGAGAUUAGGUUUAUGUCCCCCUCCUUGUAUAUUUUGUUUAUAGGAUUGGAGAUUAGGUUUAUGUCCCCCCUCCUUGUAUAUUUUGUUUUGUUUUAUUAUAUGCUAAGGCCUAGGGGGGUUUCUAAGCCCCUGACCCCUCAAGGGUCAUUAAAAUAAAAUAAAAUUAAAAAACUAAGGAACAAGAGAAGAACAAAUUAUAGUAGGAACCUUUUUGAUAAAAAUAACAGAGAUGACAAACAUUUUCAAACAUUUUCACUGUCAUCCAAAUACUGGUACGUAACCUCCCACACUAGUCUCAUGACCAUAAUUCAUAGCAUCCAAAUAUUUCCUCAAUUGCUUUUUCCAUCAAACCAAGUUUGCAGAUUCGAGUUACUGCUAAACUGAAAGAACUCUUGACCUUUGACAGACCAAAUAGAUAAAAAGAAGAAAAUAUAUUUAAGCUAUUAGCAACAAGGAAAUCCACUGAAGUUAGAUACUAUACUAGACAGACUCUUAUUCCAUGAUUCCCUUUCCCUAUUAACGGUAUUUUAAAGAGCACUAGUAAUGAAGAUCCUACAUCAAACCAUAAUCCCGGCAAUGGUUAUGCCUAGUAUUAUUGUAACAUUCACCUGGCAUAAUUUUCAUGUUACCCACACUAAGCUAGCGUUUGGUCAUAAAUUUUCAAAUAUUUUUGGUAAAUAUUAUUUGGGUGAAAAAUUUGGGUGAAAUUUCACCAUCUGUUUGGCCAUAGUAUUUGGGAAAUAUAUUUCACUUUUUCAGAAAAAUAUGAUUUAUACCCAUAAGUUUUAAAAACUAUCAAAACUAACCAUAAAUUUGUAUUACAAGUCAAUUGGAUCUUCGUUGCAACAAAUAACAAAUAGUGUCCAUGACACUAGAGCAAUGUGGUAGUUUGGAGUGAGUGUAACAAGCAUCAUUCCAUACAUCGUGAAGUAACGACAAAGCACAUGACUUUGUUAUCAUGACCCGAUUGUUCAUCAUUUUCAUCAAUAACCAUAUCAUCACUGUCAUAUUCACUGAAUAUUUCAUCACUACUUUGGUGUUCACGUAAAAAUUUAUGUAAUACAACGUAAACAUUACUAUGGAGGGUGUUUUUGUAAAAGACAAAAGUUUGGUGUAAAAUUUUAAUUUUCAAAAGAUCCCAAAUAAUGAGAUUUGGCCCAAAUACUAAAAAAAUUAGUAUUUGGGAAUUUGGGAUAUUUGCCAAAAAUAUUUGUCAAAUAAUGACAAAUUGUAUGGACAAACACUAUUUGCCAAAUUUCCCCCCAAAUAUUAUUUGGGAAAUCUAUGGCCAAACGGGCCCUAAAGAUAUGUCUCAUUCCCUUAAAAUGCAGCUUGAAAAGAAAAUCAAUUUCCAACUUUAUUUAGUUUUUGAGUUUUGAAGACACCAACGUCUACAAACAAAUAAAUGUUCUAAAAAAAGUUGUUUCAUAGAAUAUGCAUAAAGAAAAAGGACAAGAGAAGAUCUCAAGCAGACCUUGUGUGACAAUGUCCCUAACAUGCAAUGUAGAAACAACAAACACAGUGUAUUCUCACAAGUGGGGUCUAGGGAGAGAAGUAUGCAUGCAAACUUUACCCCUACCUUUGAGAAGGUAGAGGCCUUAUCCAAAAGAACCUUAAACAUGCAAUGUAUUUUUCGAUAUUUGACAAUAGAAGAAGAAUUGAACUGCACUUGCGAGACAUGUAUUAAGUGGAAACUUACAAAUCAUUAGUUACACAAUUGUAAUUCAUUUGAGCAUUUGCAGCCUUCAUUGUUGCUUAAUCCUUGUUGGUUUUGUGAAAGCGGACAGACAAGGCUUUCAAUGUAGAUUUUUAUUUUUUUUGAUAACCGAGAAAUCCGUUUGUGACCCGCCCUUUGGACCAAUCAUAGCCUUCUAAACUCGGUGGAUAAUGGG